Long non-coding RNA from Amphimedon queenslandica, 532 nucleotides. RefSeq lists it as uncharacterized. The record is from RefSeq and is a predicted model, not a curated record. Lineage: Eukaryota; Metazoa; Porifera; Demospongiae; Haplosclerida; Niphatidae. The transcript has 2 exons.
AACACUAACGAGUACAAAAAGACAAUUUUAUAAAAAAAUAUACCACCACAACAGGAUUUGACAAUGAGCCAAAGCAGAUCACUACCGGUCAUUUGUGCUGUUGAAGGAUGCGGAAGGACUGACAUCACACGAGACGUUUGGUACAACUGCAAUAAAUUACACCAAUUUUGUAGCAUUCAUCGUAUGAUGGAAUAUUGUCCAAUUGACAAGUCAGCAACAAGUAGAAUCUGUGAAGCCUGCAAUGAAAUACUGGACGGCAUCAGCUCUACUGCAAUUUGUGGUGACUGGAGUACUGGUAUAUGGUACAACUGUUACUAUGAGCAUUUCUUCUGCCUUGCUCAUCAACAGGAAGAAUUCUGUCCAAUGCACAGUGCCUAUAAAAGAAGGACAUAAUUGAACUAUACAUAACAAAGCUGCUAAUAUAUGCUACAACUAUGAUACAUACAUGUACAUACACAUUUUUAAAGCUAUACUGUAAAUAUAUUAUAUAGAAAAUGCUAUUGCUGCUAAGCUGAAUUAUACACAUGUAGUA